GAGAUGAAUUCUGCUGUUGAUCAAAACUCUGAACAAACUUCAGAUAACAAUGAGGUAAAUAUCGGCGAAGGUGUAGUUAUACACCGUGAAAAAUGGAUGAAGCUACAGCUCAAUGUAAAGGACAGCUUGUUUGUGAAAGAGCUGGCAGUGUGCAUUUGGGGAACAAGCACACUGGCCAACCGAAGCCUGGAAGGAAAAAGUUGCCCCACCACAAAAUCAGAUCCUAGGCCACCUCUGACACCUCACAAAGUCAGAACACUAAAAAGUUGCUUUCAAAAGUGGCUGGAGGGCAAAAAUUUGGAGGAAGCAGAGCUGAAGGCCAGAACAGUGAAGCUUGGGCACUACUUGACAGAAAAAAUUCAAGACAUCAACAAAAAAGUCAAAAAAGCCAAAUAAGUAAAUUGCUUGCUUCAAUUCAUAAACUACAUUUAUUUUUCUCUUAAGUAGUUACAAUGAAAUGUUGUAUUGAUU
Rhinichthys klamathensis goyatoka is the source of this 471-nucleotide long non-coding RNA. RefSeq lists it as uncharacterized. The transcript is spliced from 3 exons. Lineage: Eukaryota; Metazoa; Chordata; Actinopteri; Cypriniformes; Leuciscidae. The record is from RefSeq and is a predicted model, not a curated record.